UAAUACAUCGGAACGUGCCCGAUCGUGGGGGAUAACGCAGCGAAAGCUGUGCUAAUACCGCAUACGAUCUACGGAUGAAAGCGGGGGAUCGCAAGACCUCGCGCGGACGGAGCGGCCGAUGGCAGAUUAGGUAGUUGGUGGGGUAAAGGCUCACCAAGCCAACGAUCUGUAGCUGGUCUGAGAGGACGACCAGCCACACUGGGACUGAGACACGGCCCAG
RNAcentral lists this ribosomal RNA (220 nucleotides) under uncultured bacterium. Its description in RNAcentral is "partial 16S ribosomal RNA". It matches the Rfam family "Bacterial small subunit ribosomal RNA", at positions 111 to 334 of the family's 1533-position model. The record is from RNAcentral.